ACGCGGGAAAUCUUACCAGGUCCAGGCAUAUGGAGGAUUGACAGACAGUUAACCAAAACGCAGCAGCUAGUUUAACAAAACUAACAGCUCUUUCAAGAUUAUGUGGUAGGUGGUGCAUGGCCGUUCUUAGUUCGUGAAGUGAUUCGUUCGCCCAAUCGCAUUUCCAAACAACUAACAACUCAGAAUGCUGGGCAAUAGGACGUUUAAAGUGGCUCCUUACACCUUACAAAGGAAUGGCUGAUGAGAAACAACUCGAUCCGCUCAGCGUUCUAUUGGAAUGCAACGGACGUGAUUGCAAGCUUUUGUUUUGAGUUGCGGUUUUACUGAAAGACUCUACAAUCCGCAAACUUCAAUGAUCUGAAGUAGAAAACCUACAUGCUACAGUGAGAUAUUGUGGAUAAACUUAAGCGACCGCUCCAACAUUGUGUUUUUUUAAAACUGAUGAAGGUUGCGGCA
RNAcentral lists this ribosomal RNA (456 nucleotides) under Globigerinoides sacculifer. RNAcentral describes it as "bacterial SSU rRNA". It matches the Rfam family "Eukaryotic small subunit ribosomal RNA", at positions 1203 to 1452 of the family's 1831-position model. The record is from RNAcentral. Lineage: Eukaryota; Foraminifera; Rotaliida; Globigerinidae.